This is an RNA transcript of Drosophila biarmipes, 3781 nucleotides long. RefSeq lists it as uncharacterized. The transcript has 8 exons. Lineage: Eukaryota; Metazoa; Arthropoda; Insecta; Diptera; Drosophilidae. The record is from RefSeq and is a predicted model, not a curated record.
GACGCGCUGGCGGAUGAGCGAUAUCCAGGCGAACAUUGCGUAUACGUCGUGUGUGCCGUGCGAGCCCUCGGCUGUGGUUGUGUGUGUGUGAAGUGAGCUGAGGAGCGCUGGUUAGCUCGAGAGGCCCGUUAAUUGUGCGCUUGACGUUCCGGCUUUGGCCGUGCGAACUGCAAACCGCUUUCAAGGGCCGCCCGUCAAUAAAUUAUAAUGUCCUAAUGCCCAAUACCUAAUACCCGACGUCUAAUACCCAUUGACAGCGCAGGCCGCGUUGGCGGGCCGUGAAUAAAAUAUCAAAAGCAUUUUGGGCCCCGAGCCCUGGCUGUUGUUAUCAUCAGCGAGUGAGCAAAGGCCAUAUUCCCGUGUGCCGAUGCUUAAGUUGAUUUUAUGUUUCGCAUCUCGGCUAGCUCACACAUCCCAUGGCCACCCAGCACCCCCUGGAAUUUAUUAAAUAUUCAGCGUUUAUACGCAACAACACAGGAGUCGUUGCUCUUGUUUUCGCCCUUUGCUCCCAUUUUUUCAGUCCCUUGGUUUCUUUUUCGAGAUAUCUCAAGCUGCGAAGCAAAACAAUCCUAAUGUACAUUGACAGCGUGGUCGAAGCGCCAGCCAAGCAAAUCCUAUCCACACAUUCGCCCAGCGGGCUUAGCGAGUCAUGUUUACUUAAUGGAUACGCCAGGCAACUAUUAAGUGCUCCGCCAGCCCCCUGCACUUCUUCUUGCUUACCAUCUAAGCAGAUAUUAGAUUUGAUAUGGCCAUGUCAGUUAGCCACAUUAUCUGUCUGUGCAUUAAAGCCCAGAUUCGGAGAUUAAGAGCACCCUGGUCUUGAGCCAUUAUGCGUACUUAGCAUCACUCGCGAAAGCGACUGCCCCGAAUUAGCCCCAGAAAUUGUAAUUUGACUGUCCCCGGGGGCAGAAGGCACAACCUGCAUUGGGGACACCUUCGGGGCUCUACCCCUUCCCGCAGGACAACAAAGGAAUUCCGCGGAAGAACUCGCUCUGGCCAGAUUCCUUUGCUUUCCCUUUAAUUUCAAUGCGUAUCUUCCGGCUGCAGGACACCGGCGAAAAGGCGGCACGCAGGUGAGAGAAGUAAGGACACAGCCCGAGGCCAAAGACAAGGGAACGAAAAGAAUUAAGCAGCGCGGAGGAGCGGGUGGGAGUCACAGACACCGCCAGCGGGCGGUCCAAGGAGCCAACUUCAUUUACGUCUGAAACGCAGUUGAAAUAAACGACUUCACGACACUGGCGGAUUUCCUAAAAAAUAUCCAAUCCCUGUGGCUAACGAGCUGGCUCAGCGGGCGGACCAAGCGGAGCACCGGCGGAGGAAUCGGAAUCGGAUUGGGAGCCGGAGGAAUCGGCGGAGGAACCGGUGGCCACGAGCAGCGCUCAGUCAACGUUUACACGCUCCAGCAGGCGCACAAGUUUCCGCUUCAAUUGGACGCUGGUAAUUGCAGCUUUGAUUGCCACCAGGAGCUGGAUAGGAUCCGUCACCGCCACCGCAGCUCCGCAGCCAAAGGCAGGCAGGAAACAACACCUUCCUCGGCACCGGCCGAGGGAAUCUACGAAACCAAAUUUAUUGAAAGCUCAAUGGCCCAAACGAUGGACGACAUGGUCUUCCAGUGCAGCAAUCAAAACUCGAUUUAUGUGCUUAAUGCCAGCUACGGCGCAUACGGGGACUAUGGCACAUAUGCGGCAACAAAGCGUGAAAUAAAUGGCAGCCGGAGCAGAGCGGCAAAUCCAAUUGAGGCAACUUGCUCGAGUGGCGUCCUGCAGCAUAAAUUCAAAACUUUUGGCAGUGCAGCAGUGGCAGCAGCAACCACAACAACAAUGCCCGUGGAUGCGGCAUCAAACUACGUAAAUCCUGUCGCUACAUCAAUGUCAACCGCAAUGUGUUCACCGGCAACGGCGGCCCUGCAAAAAUUGUUCAAUUGCAGCGUCGGCGUCGCCUGCCAAAAUGUCACCCACGCCCACAGCCACCACAGCAGCAGCGGCCACACCAACAGCAGCAGCAUCAGCGGCAGCAACAUCCACAGCAGCAACAUCAGCGGCGGCAACAACAAUGCCGCCGCGAGCAACCAUAACAAUAGGUGCCUGUCAGCGGCAGGCGGAGCAGCCCAAAACGGCCGCAAUCGGAGCCGGAGUGGCGAGUCCUUGGAUGCCACUGCGGGAGCGGUUACCUCGACAGGGGGAGGAGCAGGAGGCGCAUCCGGAGGAGCAGCAACUGGGGGCCACCUCCCCCCACUGCUGCCGAAGAAGAAAUGCACCAAUGUCAAAUCAGCGCUUAUUGCCAAGAAGACAAAGUUUCUCAAAUAUCUCGAAGAAGAAAAAUGGCGCAGCCACGCAGCAGCGCCGGAAGAUUCUGCUGGCGCCAUCAGCGGCGGGGCGGCGCCACCCACCUCCAGUGGCAACAACAACAAUGGCGGCCACUUGAAAAAUCAGAGCAACAGUCGGGAGGCUGGCAGUGCUGCGAGUGCUGCGAGUGCCGUGAGUGCCGGAGCCGGCGGCAGUGGAGGCCAGCUGAAUAAAUUGACCAACUGGAGCAUGCAUAAUGAGGACAACAGCGCGGCGGCGCUGACCAGCCGGCGACGAGAGCCACAUGCCCCCCAGCAGCGGGCGAAGUCGAGCCUGGAGCUCUACCAGGAGGCGGCCGACAUCCUGGGCCUCAGUUGCAGCCUCUGUGAUAAUUGCCGAUGCCUGGACUGCCAGAGCGGUUACUUUGACUGCGACGACGAUGACGAGAGCUACUCGGAGCAAUCGCUGAUGGACGACGAGUACGAGGACGAGUUUGACUGCAGUGCGGAGGAGCUGCAGGCGGUGCUGACGGGCGGCGGAGGAGCCAGAGUCCCCCCCUGCUGCCAACUGGAGGCGAGCUCACACCUUCCGCUCAAAGGGGACUCCCCGGACGCACACGCCGCGCCGCCGGGUGUGGAGUCCCUGGGACAUCGGCUGGCCAUCGAUUUUGAUUUAAUUAACGCCACUUGCAGCCAAGUGCUGGAAAACUGUGAAACAUUCAACGAUCUGAGUCUGCUGGAUGCCGGAGCGGAGCGUCCUUUCACGUAAAUCCAGGUGGAUGGCCGAGGUGUGGGAGGGCCCUCCCCCAAUCAGGAAUGCCGAAUCGGACAGUGCAGCUAAUUAAAUGGGUGCCAAUUGUAUGCGGACACACACUCGCCCCCGGUGUUUGCGUUUCAUUUACCUUCUUAUUUUGAUUCCAAUUAAGCCCGGAGGCAAACAGAGCAGGAGGAACACGAGGGGCAGGAUGAAAAUGUUUUACUGGUUAACAGGAGGCCCUGGCUGCCACACAUAUGAUAUGUAUCCUACGCAAAUACGCCAUGCACACCCGUGUAUAUAGUGGACUUUAUUAUGGAGCGUGACGAGAAAUGGUCAGCCAAACAAAUCGCAAAUAAAUUAAUUGCAAAAUGCAAUUCCAAUCGAGGCGGCGGAAAUUCAAUUGCGAGCACUAGCGAAAAUCAGAAACGAUUAUCAGAAAAUAUAAACCACAUAUGCAAAAACAAUGGAAAACAAAGUGUGCCAAUUUCAUAUUCAUAUAUGAAUGCUGUUCGAGCUGCAAUCCAUUUGCAAUCCAGAGCGAAAUACAAUGGGCCUGUUUAGCGCGUAAUCUGACAUCAUGAACUACAAAACUAUUUGAAAAUUCAAUGAAAUAUUUAUCUCGAAAUCCAUGUUGGUAGUGCUUAAGUAUUUAAGAAUUUCGUGUGAUGCUUUUCAUUCGUUCGAUUGAUUUCAAAUCAAGGGGAAACAUUGGAAAUACAUAUAUUUGUGUUGGAAAAGGA